GACAUCCCGAUGCUAUUUCUAGAGAUAGAAAGUUACUUCGGUACAUCGGUGACAGGUGGUGCAUGGUUGUCGUCAGCUCGUGUCGUGAGAUGUUGGGUUAAGUCCCGCAACGAGCGCAACCCUACCGUGUGUUACCAUCAUUAAGUUGGGGACUCGCACGGAACUGCCGGUGAUAAACCGGAGGAAGGUGGGGAUGACGUCAAAUCCUCAUGGCCUUUAUGUCCGGGGCUACACACGUGCUACAAUGGUCGGUACAGAAGGAAGCGAAGUCGUGAGAUGGAGCAGAUCCGAGAAAGCCGAUCUCAGUUCGGAUUGGAGUCUGCAACUCGACUCCAUGAGGUCGGAAUCGCUAGUAAUCGCGGAUCAGCAUGCCGCGGUGAAUACGUUCCCGGGCCUU
This 397-nucleotide ribosomal RNA is filed under the name uncultured Leptonema sp. RNAcentral's name for it is "bacterial SSU rRNA". It matches the Rfam family "Bacterial small subunit ribosomal RNA", at positions 983 to 1382 of the family's 1533-position model. Lineage: Bacteria; Pseudomonadati; Spirochaetota; Leptospiria; Leptospirales; Leptospiraceae. The record is from RNAcentral.